GCCAGGCAUGGUGGUGCACGCCUGUAAUCCCAGCAGCUCAGGAGGCUGAGAUAGGAGGAUCGUGAGUUAAAAGCCAACUUCAGCAACGGUGAGGCACUAAGCAACUCAGUGAGACCCUGUUUAUA
RNAcentral lists this small RNA (125 nucleotides) under Marmota monax (woodchuck). Lineage: Eukaryota; Metazoa; Chordata; Mammalia; Rodentia; Sciuridae. The record is from RNAcentral.